Gigantopelta aegis is the source of this 3817-nucleotide RNA transcript. It is a transcript of the gene named coiled-coil domain-containing protein 1-like, with no coding region annotated. The record is from RefSeq and is a predicted model, not a curated record. The transcript has 7 exons. Lineage: Eukaryota; Metazoa; Mollusca; Gastropoda; Neomphalida; Peltospiridae.
GUCGUUCAAACACAUGUAAGCCUAAACAAAAAUGUACCUGAAGUAAAAUGGAUAUAUGCACCUUUUAUGGAUGUGGUAUACCUACGUUUAAUUCAGUCAGAAAUUCAAAUUCACUUGAAGCUAGAGAUUCAAAGAAUAAACAUUCCAAAAAUGUUAGUUUCAAAACUGCACAUGAAGCUUUCACCUGAGAACAGCUUGGUAACUCGGGACUUAUGAAGCUAGCACAGCUCGUGAUAUUACUUUCUCUAUCGGCAAUGAACAUGGACAGUAGAUAUUUAAACAUGGAUCAUGAGCUUCUACAUCUCUGCCUCUCGGGGUUCGACUGUCCAGAUCCGCGCCACGUCUGCUAUAGGCCAACUAAUGACUCUUUCUUUGGCCACUGUAUUGCAACAGCAUUACACAGGAUUAACAAUCGUAAACGUAGUACUGGACCAUAUUAUCGUUGGCAAUUGAAACGGGUUCAUUAUCGACACGUGAACCAACAACUUGUAACAUCCCAUCACCAGCGGCAGAGGAAGCACCAUCGUCGUCGACGUCUAAUACGCCAUCAACAUCGCAGAAAAAGAUUUCGCAGAGAUACGCUUGGCAGCAGCUAUCAUAAACACAAACAAGAAAAUUAUUUUAUGGUGGACCGUUCCGUGAAGACUGUGGACAAAGUAGAAGAUCCAUUGCCCAUAGUGCGACAGAACUCUUCCCCGCAAAUAUUUCAACAAACGAGACAACCCAGUCAACCUAGUUCUAGGAAGGAACGGGACACCAGUGCAAUAAGUAUAGACGAUGGUUAUGUUGACAACGAUGAUGAUCAUGAAGACGACAUAGAAACCAUUCAAGCAAUAUCAAAUACAACAAGUGAUGAUGAUGAUGGUGGUGGUAAUGAUGGUGGUGAAAACGUUCGCAAGACUAUUGAUGAAGAAAACAUUCAAGUAGUAUUUAAUACAGACACAGCAGAUGAUAAUAAUGAUGAUGAUGGUCAAAACAUCAAGGGCAUUAUAAAAGAAAAACACAUUCGAUCAAUAUUAGUUAAUGAAGAUGAAGAUGAAGAUGACGACGACGAUGAUGACCUUGAAAAUAUUGUGAAGUCAGUAGGCGAAACAACGGUAACCCAUAUAACCACUGUAAACACAGGAUAUGAGGGUGAGCGUAAAUACGUUGACAAUCUUAUUGCAGCGCUUGAUAGUGCCGCCGUUGAAGAUGAUGACGACGACGACGACGAUGAUGAUGAUGAUGAUGUAAUUGCACAGCUUGACGACGAUGAUGAUGAUGAUGACGACGAUGAUGAUGAUUUAAUUGCACAGCUUGACGACGACGAUGAUGAUGACGACGAUGAUGAUGAUGAUGAUGAUGAUGACGACGAUGAUGACGAUGAUGAUGUAAUUGCAGAGCUUGAUAAUGCCAUCGUUGAAGAUGAUGACGACGACGAUGAUGAUGAUGUAAUUGCACAGCUUGACGACGACGAUGAUGAUGAUGACGACGACGAUGAUGAUGUAAUUGCAGAGCUUGAUAAUGCCAUCGUUGAAGAUGAUGACGACGACGAUGAUGAUGUAAUUGCACAGCUUGACGACGACGAUGAUGAUGACGACGACGAUGAUGAUGUAAUUGCAGAGCUUGAUAAUGCCAUCGUUGAAGAUGAUGACGACGACGACGAUGAUGAUGUAAUUGCACAGCUUGACGACGACGAUGAUGAUGAUGAUGACGACGAUGAUGAUGAUUUAAUUGCACAGCUUGACGACGAUGAUGAUGAUGACGACGACGACGACGAUGAUGAUGAUGUAAUUGCAGAGCUUGAUCGUGCCGUCGUUGAAGAUGAAUAAGAUGAAAUGGAAGUUCUGCAGUUGCUGCAUGGUAAAACUCAUCAAACGAAAUGAUACAGAUAUUGCAAACUGACAUUAACAUAACAACAUGAGAACAAACGAAGUGACCAAAAUGGAAAGUAGGCCAUAACGAAGGACGACAUGGAACAUGCUAAUGAUCCAAACAAAUGCUGGACAUGAUAUAACAAAAAGGUGUAUGUGUGAUGCAAAUUUAUUGAAAGGCCAGUAUUUUGAUAUAACAUUUAACAAAAAGAAAAAAAAAAGGCUAAAACCUAUUCGAAAACUAUUAGCAAACUCUAUUUAAAGGAAACUCAAAUCCUGAAGAGAGAGAGAGAGAGAGAGAGAGAGAGAGAGAGAGAGAGAGAGAGAGAGAGAGAGAGAGAGAGAGAGAGCGAGAGAGAGAGAGAGAGAGUUUAUGUGUGUUGAGAGAGAGACAAAGACAGAGUGAGAUACACAGAGAGUAUGUGUGUGGAUAGAGAGAGAGAGAGAGAGAGAGAGAGAGAGGACACACACACACACACACACACACCACAUAGACAAUGGUGAUAAAAUCAUGUAAUAUGUCAAAAGUAAUAAAACUAUUCCAAACAAGCUAUAAAUAGUGAACAGACUGUUCUCAAAGAAUAAGGAAUAUUGAAACGGCUGAAGAAAUGUAGCAAGAAGAAAAUCCUGGGCAAAAGGAAGAAAUGUACAAGCACAGAAGAAAGAAUAUUGAAACAGCUGAAGAAAUGUAGCAAGAAGAACAUCUUUGGCAAAAUGGAGAAAUGUAAAGGCCCAGACGAAAAAACUCCUUGGCAAAAGGAACAACUGUAAAGGCACAGAAGAAAGAAGAUUGAAACAACUGAAGGAAAGUAGCAGGAAGAAACGCCUUGACAAAAUGAAGAAAUGUGAAAGCACAGAUGAAAUAUCUGUCACACAGGAACCUCUAGAUCGUCUGUCCCAAAAGAUUUGGAGGUUGUCUAACAUUCAGGAACUACAACUAUGGAAUAUUAAAGUACAAAAUAGAAAUGAUUUGUUUGACUGUAAUUUAUAACGGUUCACACGUACACUGGUCCAACAAAAACAAAAUCCGCAUAGGGAGGCAUGUUCCACCCACCCCCACCCCCACUCCACACACACUGACUUAAAAUGUAGGCCUUCUCCUGCGGGCUUGUGCCCUACUCACAUAUUCUUAAUCAGGCACGGGAAAACAGAGGCCCGCACCCCACCCCCCCACCCCCACCCCCCCCCCAAAAAAAACAACAACAACAACAACCAAACAAAUGUUGCGACAGUUAUAAUUUUAUUAUGUAUUAAUUUUCAUUUUGUUUUACGAUUCCCUCCAAACCUCACUCAAAGUUCCAUUGGCAUUUCACCUUAUGUCAUUGGGGGUCCCCUAAAUGGAUUUUCUGGAUCCGCCACUGGGGAAGCAAGUCAAUAUUAAAGCUAAUAGAAAAAGAUGCGAGUGGUAUGGAUUUAAAACUUAAUAUGUUUUAUAUUAAUGUUAACCUUAUAAAGUGACAUGCCAAUUCAUUGGUUCGUUCUUGACGCAAAGGGACUGUAUACGUUACAGGUGUUCUUUUAAUAAAAAUCCUUUUGUUUUUGUAACCAUGGUAUGUAUUUGGUAUUUGUAACUGUGAAGAUCAUGUGGAGUCUCAUGUUUCCUUCUUUAAAACUAGUUUUAUGAUGUUCAGCCAUACGUGUUCAUUUGAAAUAUUGUAAACACAUUUUAUCAGUUAAAAGGUCUAUGCUGUAAUGCUGCUGUAUAUAGCGAACUAGGACAUCCACCAAUGUAUGUGAAAAGGCAGACAGAAUAAUUAAAUAUUGGUUGAAAAUAAUUUCAAAUAAAAACUCUGUUAUGUACCUAGCGUAUGAUGUUUUAAGAAAAGAUGCUGAUGUGAACAUACUGUCACAGUGUAACAUUUACAACAAUAUUCAAAUGAAAUUUAUAUAUAUUUAGCUGUGUGUCUACGAUUCAAUUAAUUUUUAUUGUGUACCUGCAUUUAUGCAAUAAACGUUGAUCAUCA